ACGUAGGGAGCAAGCGUUGUUCGGAUUUACUGGGCGUAAAGGGCGCGUAGGCGGCGCGGUAAGUCACUUGUGAAAUCUCUGAGCUUAACUCAGAACGGCCAAGUGAUACUGCAGUGCUAGAGUGCAGAAGGGGCAAUCGGAAUUCUUGGUGUAGCGGUGAAAUGCGUAGAUAUCAAGAGGAACACCUGAGGUGAAGACGGGUUGCUGGGCUGACACUGACGCUGAGGCGCGAAAGCUAGGGGAGCAAACGGGAUUAGAUACCCCGGUAGUCCUAGCCCUAAACGAUGAAUACUUGGUGUCUGGAGUUUCAAGACUUCGGGUGCCGUCGCUAACGUUUUAAGUAUUCCGCCUGGGGAGUACGCUCGCAAGAGUG
Molecule: ribosomal RNA, 373 nt
Filed under: uncultured bacterium
Lineage: Bacteria
Description: bacterial SSU rRNA
Rfam family: Bacterial small subunit ribosomal RNA
Source: RNAcentral